AUUGAACGCUGGCGGCAUGCCUUACACAUGCAAGUCGAACGGUAACGGGCCUUCGGGUGCCGUCGAGUGGCGAACGGGUGAGUAAUACAUCGGAACGUGCCCGAUCGUUGGGGAUAACGUGUCGAAAGCUUUGCUAAUACCGCAUACGAUCUACGGUUUUAAGCAGGGGACCGCAAUGCCUUGCGCGGACUGUUCGGCCGAUGGCAGAUUAGGUAGUUGGUGGGUUAAAAGCUUACCAAGCCGACGAUCUGUAGCUGGUCUGAGAGGAUGAUCAGCCACACUGGGAGUGAGACACGGCCCAGACUCGUACGGGAGGCAGCAGUGGGGAAUUUUGGACAAUGGGCGAAAGCAUGAUCGAGCAAUGCCGCGUGAAGGAUGAGGGCCUUAGGGUUGUAAACUGCUUUUGUAAGGAACGAAAAGAAGUCUUAUAAAACAGGAGGGUCAUGACGGUACCGUAAGAAUAAGCACCGGCUAACUACGUG
Molecule: ribosomal RNA, 482 nt
Filed under: uncultured bacterium
Lineage: Bacteria
Description: partial 16S ribosomal RNA
Rfam family: Bacterial small subunit ribosomal RNA
Source: RNAcentral